UGUCACCUCCUUCGAUGAUACCGUAGACGCUUUCAAGCUUCCAUCUCCUUCCACCUUUGAUCUGAAACGCUAUCUGUGACAACUUCGCUGUUGAGUCACUGUCGCCAUGCUCCUUAUCCUUAUCUUUGCAGUGAGCCAUGAACACGAAACCAGAAACGACAAUCUUCACUCAUCUCCCCCUCUUUUUUUUUUUUUUUUUCACCUAGAAUUUCUUGGGACUGUGAUGAUGUCUCACCGACGAAUCAUUCCACCUCCGGCGAGUACCGUUUCUUCACCCUGCGUCA
Molecule: long non-coding RNA, 284 nt
Filed under: Brassica napus (rape)
Lineage: Eukaryota; Viridiplantae; Streptophyta; Magnoliopsida; Brassicales; Brassicaceae
Description: long non-coding RNA (BNAP_LNC000295)
Source: RNAcentral